AAGGUGGAUUUAUUAGUAAUUAUGUUUUAUUAUUAUAUGAUGAAAUAUGAAAUAACAUGUGUACAUAUUGCCCGUCGCUCUCAUUUUUUUUGAGAUAAGUCGUAACAUAGUUGAUGUACUGGAAAGUAUAUCUUUUUGG
RNAcentral lists this ribosomal RNA (139 nucleotides) under Xystodesmus serrulatus. RNAcentral's name for it is "partial small subunit ribosomal RNA". Lineage: Eukaryota; Metazoa; Arthropoda; Diplopoda; Polydesmida; Xystodesmidae. The record is from RNAcentral.